UGACGGCCCUGCUAAAGAAGCACCGGCCAACUACGUGCCAGCAGCCGCGGAAAUACGUAGGGUGCGAGCGUUGUCCGGAAUUAUUGGGCGUAAAGGGCUCGUAGGCGGUUUGUCGCGUCGGGAGUGAGAACCAGGUGCUUAACACCUGGCUUGCUUUCGAUACGGGCAGACUAGAGGUAUGCAGGGGAGAACGGAAUUCCUGGCGUAGCGGUGAAGUGCGCAAAUAUCAGGAGGAACACCGGUGGCGAAGGCGGUUCUCUGGGCAUGACCUGACGCUGAGGAGCGAAAGUGUGGGGAGCCAACAGGAUUAGAUACCCUGGUAGUCCACACCGUAAACGUUGGGCGCUAGGUGUGGGGUCCAUUCCACGGAUUCCGUGCCGCAGCUAACGCAUUAAGCGCCCCGCCUGGGGAGUACGGUCGCAAGGCUAAAACUCAAAGGAAUUGACGG
This 448-nucleotide ribosomal RNA is filed under the name uncultured bacterium. RNAcentral's name for it is "bacterial SSU rRNA". It matches the Rfam family "Bacterial small subunit ribosomal RNA", at positions 470 to 916 of the family's 1533-position model. The record is from RNAcentral.